Molecule: unclassified non-coding RNA, 377 nt
Filed under: uncultured Geodermatophilaceae bacterium
Lineage: Bacteria; Bacillati; Actinomycetota; Actinomycetes; Geodermatophilales; Geodermatophilaceae
Description: contains 16S-23S intergenic spacer region
Source: RNAcentral
UCCGAGUUGACCCCGGCAGUCUCCUAUGAGUCCCCGGCAUUAUCCGCUGGCAACAUAGAACGAGGGUUGCGCUCGUUGCGGGACUUAACCCAACAUCUCACGACACGAGCUGACGACAACCAUACACCACCUGUGCACGGCCCUUACGGACCUUCCAUCUCUGAAAGAUUUCCGUGCAUGUCAAGCCUAGGUAAGGUUCUUCGCGUUGCAUCGAAUUAAGCAACAUGCUCCGCCGCUUGUGCGGGCCCCCGUCAAUUCCUUUGAGUUUUAGCCUUGCGGCCGUACUCCCCAGGCGGGGCGCUUAAUGCGUUAGCUGCGGCACGGAACUCGUGGAAUGAGCCCCACACCUAGUGAACAUAGUUUAGGGCCAAGACUAC